This 208-nucleotide RNase P RNA is filed under the name Haliea sp. RNAcentral's name for it is "partial RNase P RNA component class A". It matches the Rfam family "Bacterial RNase P class A", at positions 147 to 367 of the family's 367-position model. From Rfam's summary of the family: Ribonuclease P (RNase P) is a ubiquitous endoribonuclease, found in archaea, bacteria and eukarya as well as chloroplasts and mitochondria. Lineage: Bacteria; Pseudomonadati; Pseudomonadota; Gammaproteobacteria; Cellvibrionales; Halieaceae. The record is from RNAcentral.
GGUAAGGGUGAAAAGGUGCGGUAAGAGCGCACCGCGCGGCUGGUAACAGGCGUGGCGAUGGUAAACCCCACUCGGAGCAAGACCAAAUAGGAAUCCGUAUGCUGCGGCCCGCAGUGGAUUCGGGUAGGUCGCUACAGGCCGGCGGCGACGCCGGUCGCAGAUGAAUGAUCGUCCUCGACAGAACCCGGCUUAUCGACCGACUCACUUU